This 588-nucleotide ribosomal RNA is filed under the name Triticum aestivum (bread wheat). Its description in RNAcentral is "partial small subunit ribosomal RNA". Lineage: Eukaryota; Viridiplantae; Streptophyta; Magnoliopsida; Poales; Poaceae. The record is from RNAcentral.
AUGGUACUAGGAUGGAGCAACGAACUUACAACGCAACAAGAUGAUAAGGGAAGUACAGCUCUUCACUUAGUUGCAUCUAUGCCACGUCAAAAAGAGCGACGAGACAUACGUUUACUUCUACUGGAAGCCAAUCCAGAUGCAUUAUAUCAGAUGGACAAUGAUGGAUCAUUCCCCAUACACGUGGCUGCAUCCGUUGGCUCAAGAAUUACCAUCAAUGUCUUUCUUCAGAAGUCGCCCAAUUGCGCUGGUCUACGUGAUGCUAGGGGAAGGACAUUUCUUCAUGUUGCAGUUGACAAAAUGCAAACAUGGCUGGUCUGGUCUGCUUGCAGAAACCAGUCGUUAUCAUGGAUUUUAAAUAUGCAAGACAAUGGUGGAAACACUGCACUGCAUUUAGCCGUCCAAAAAGGAACACUGGCGAUAUUCUGUGCUAUAUUUGGGAAUAAACAAGUGCACUUAAAUUUAACAAAUGAGAAAGGGGAGACCCCGCUUGACAUAGCACAUUGCAAUAUUCCCAAAGUAUUGUUUUAUAACCAGGUAAUAUAUACCCAAGUGCAAUCAUUUUAUUUAGAAGCACAGCCUUGGAGAUGA